This is a long non-coding RNA of Bufo bufo (common toad), 149 nucleotides long. RefSeq lists it as uncharacterized. The transcript is spliced from 3 exons. The record is from RefSeq and is a predicted model, not a curated record. NCBI's taxonomy places the organism in Eukaryota, Metazoa, Chordata, Amphibia, Anura, Bufonidae.
GGAAGAGUGAGAGAACGCCCAACGCGUAUCGCCGAAACAAUCCGGCUUCCUCAGGGGUAAGGAGCUGUGUGUUGGGGUAUCACUUUAUAUAGGAUGAUAAAUAGGGCAAAAUUACAUUCACCUGUGCAGCAGAACGCAGUAAAAAGUGG